CCCGGGCCUUGUACACACCGCCCGUCAAGCCAUGGAAGCUGGGGGUACCAGAAAUAGUUAGUCUAACCGCAAGGGGGACGAUUACCACGGUGUGGUCAAUGACUGGGGUG
Molecule: ribosomal RNA, 110 nt
Filed under: uncultured bacterium
Lineage: Bacteria
Description: partial 16S ribosomal RNA
Rfam family: Bacterial small subunit ribosomal RNA
Source: RNAcentral